AUUGUAACAAUUUAACAAUUCUAACAACAUCUAUUAAAGAUGGUGAAAGAUUAGGAAUUUCUCUCCUAGCACACUGGACACUGAUGCACCUUUUUUUUGUUUGCUGCUUACCCCUUUGAGCUUUAUCUCUGUAUUCUUGGGCUGGCUGGCUAUCGAGUCAAAACUUGGGUUCUUCGAGGAUCAGCACAGCUUUCUCCAACCUGAAGAGGAACACCAUCAGCUGCAGCUCCACCUGAGGCACCGUAGGAUGAACCGGGCUGAUGUUGAUGUUUACUGACAGAAAGUAGCCACUUCUUUUUGUGCUCAGAGCAGAGCUAUAUCCUCAAAGCCCCAUCACGCUGAGUCACCCCUGCUCUGCCUCUCACCUGAGUCCAGCUUUAGGCCAGCCCGAGCCAUCCCAGCAAAUCAGAGAUAAGCCCCAUCACCUGAACUCACUCUCUUUUCAGUGAGCUUGAACCACCUGACCUUUACUGAGUGUGCUGCAGAGUUCACCUUUCCAUGCUAGCAAUACACUAGUGGAACCCAGCAAACUAAAGGGAGGGCACAGAUCUGCAGAUUCACUAAAGCCGAGGUUUAGUGUUAGGCCUUAUUCUGAGUCUGGCUGACACGGCUCUACUCCAGUCUUUUUAGAGUGGGCAGUUGGAGAGAGAGUGGGCAGAAUUGUGUAAGGGGUCCAGACUCCUGAUCUCAAUUCAGACCAGUCAGAACAUAUUAAAGAUGCUUGGCCAGAAACUCUGAACUGGUGCUGUUGAAAGCCAAUGGAAACCCAGCACAAAAAUGAGUUGUUUUUUAUCUGCGUGCCAAGUUUACUUGUCAUGCUCAAAUAUGUUCAAACCUUUUCAACUACUAUCAUGCAAAGGUGAGUUAGCCUUUGAUUAGGCAGUUUCUUUUAACUUAAUUCCAUCCUAAAUUAUGUAGCUGCUACAUUCGGCCACUAAUACAUGCUUUAUACUGCUGCAUAUAAUUUUAAGUUGAAAUGGAAAUAAUACGCUCUGCAGUCUAUACAGACCAUGCCAAACCUAGUUUCAUACCCAUGACCUCACCAAGACAUUUUUUUAUUCAUUUGUAUUCUGUAGUGAAAUAAAGAUUAAAUUACCCAACA
Molecule: long non-coding RNA, 1102 nt
Filed under: Astyanax mexicanus (Mexican tetra)
Lineage: Eukaryota; Metazoa; Chordata; Actinopteri; Characiformes; Acestrorhamphidae
Description: lncRNA (ENSAMXG00005017794.1)
Source: RNAcentral